CUACGGAGGGUGCAAACGUUGUUCGGAAUCACUGGGCGUAAAGGGCGCGCAGGCGGUUUGAUUAGUCAGAUGUGAAAGCCCACGGCUUAACCGUGGAAGUGCUUUUGAAACUGUCAGACUUGAGUACUAGAGGGGAAAGUGGAAUUCCCGGUGUAGAGGUGAAAUUCGUAGAUAUCGGGAGGAAUACCGGUGGCGAAGGCGACUUUCUGGCUAGAUACUGACGCUGAGGCGCGAAAGCGUGGGGAGCAAACAGGAUUAGAAACCCCUGUAGUCC
This 274-nucleotide ribosomal RNA is filed under the name uncultured bacterium. Its description in RNAcentral is "partial 16S ribosomal RNA". It matches the Rfam family "Bacterial small subunit ribosomal RNA", at positions 523 to 796 of the family's 1533-position model. The record is from RNAcentral.